UACGUAGGGUCCGAGCGUUGUCCGGAAUUACUGGGCGUAAAGAGCUCGUAGGUGGUUUGUCGCGUUGUUCGUGAAAACUCACAGCUCAACUGUGGGCGUGCGGGCGAUACGGGCAGACUAGAGUACUGCAGGGGAGACUGGAAUUCCUGGUGUAGCGGUGGAAUGCGCAGAUAUCAGGAGGAACACCGGUGGCGAAGGCGGGUCUCUGGGCCGUAACUGACGCUGAGGAGCGAAAGCAUGGGGAGCAAACAGG
Molecule: ribosomal RNA, 253 nt
Filed under: uncultured bacterium
Lineage: Bacteria
Description: partial 16S ribosomal RNA
Rfam family: Bacterial small subunit ribosomal RNA
Source: RNAcentral